GUCCCAGUGGCCUAAUGGAUAAGGCAUUGGCCUUCUAAGCCAGGGUUUAUGGGUUCAAAUCCCAUCUGGGGUA
Molecule: transfer RNA, 73 nt
Filed under: Chelonia mydas (Green sea turtle)
Lineage: Eukaryota; Metazoa; Chordata; Testudines; Cheloniidae
Rfam family: tRNA
About the family: Transfer RNA (tRNA) molecules are approximately 80 nucleotides in length. Their secondary structure includes four short double-helical elements and three loops (D, anti-codon, and T loops).
Source: Rfam by way of RNAcentral